UCCCCUAGUAAUGGCGAAUGAAGCGGGAACGGCUCAAAUUUGAAAUCUGCGUCGCCUGCGACGCCGAAUUGUAGUUUCUAGAAGCACUUUCUAGGCGGAACCGGGGCCGUCCAAGUUGCUUGGAACAGCACGUCAUAGAGGGUGACAACCCCGUCUGUGGCGGAACCGGCCGCUCACGAUGUGCUUUCGACGAGUCGGGUUGUUUGGGAAUGCAGCCCAAAAUGGGUGGUAAACUCCAUCUAAAGCUAAAUAUUGGCACGAGACCGAUAGCGAACAAGUACCGUGAGGGAAAGAUGAAAAGCACUUUGAAAAGAGAGUUAAAAAGUACGUGAAACCGUUAAAGGGGAAACGGAUGGGGUUAGCAAUGCGCUCCGCGAGAUUCAGCCGGCCGGCGAUUCGGGCGGGCGGUUUGCGGAUCUGAAUGGACCGCGGCCGUCCGGUUCGGCACCUCGACCGUCGCACUUCUCGCGAGCGCGCGCCAACGUCGGUUGGCACCGGGUCUCAAGGGCGCGGGCAAGGUAGGUUCGUCCCCUCGGGGAGGAGCUGUUACAGGCCCGCGUCGCAUGGCCCGGGGCCGACCGAGGAGCCGCGGUGCAUGCCUCUCUCUGGCUAGGGUCCCGUCCCUCCGGUCGGUAGUCGACUGCGGUGGACUGCGUGCAGUGCGCCGCGACCGCUGCCGGUCGCGGGGGCGGUGACCUCGUACGAUGCGCCCAGGACGUUGGCGGUCAAAUGGCCUCAUUCGACCCGUCUUGAAACACGGACCAAGGAGUCUAACAUGUGCGCGAGUCUUCGAGUGACGGAAACUCGCGGGCGCAAUGAAAGUGAAGGCGGCCUCGUGCCGCCGAGGUGAGAGCCCGUCCCCCGGGGCGGGUGCAUCAUCGACCGACCUAUUCCGCUCUCGGGAAGGUUUGAGUAAGA
This 918-nucleotide ribosomal RNA is filed under the name Isoparactis fabiani. RNAcentral's name for it is "eukaryotic LSU rRNA". It matches the Rfam family "Eukaryotic large subunit ribosomal RNA", at positions 76 to 799 of the family's 3401-position model. The record is from RNAcentral. Lineage: Eukaryota; Metazoa; Cnidaria; Anthozoa; Actiniaria; Actinostolidae.